GGCUAUUGGCUCUGACGUGAGGCGAGCAGUGAUGACGUGCGGGAGCCAUUUUGGACGUUCAUUUUCUUUUGUAAGGGGCUUCGGAAGGCUGUCUUUAAUCUUUACUUUUGGUCCCAUUGCCAAGAAGAGUUGUUCGAAAGGUCGUUAAUACCUGAGUUCGGAAGAAACAGCUUAUAAUCGAGAAAAUGCCGCCUCUUGAAACGGAUAUAGCAGUGGAAACCGAAGAGAGAGUAAGGUUUGAUCGUAUAAUACAGGAGCUUAAAGAUCUGUGCUCAUUGAUAAAGAGGCUAAUGUCAGAGCGCUUGGAAAGUAUCAAGGAGAGAGCGCUAACAAAUGUGCAAGCCUGAUCGGUCACAAAAUCGAAUUACCGAAGUAAAUGUAAAACAAGAGAAACCUGCAGAAAAAAAGGAAAAAUAAAUAGAAGAAGAGAAAUCUACAGGAUCGGUUCAGGAGAUACAAUCUACACAUAAUAGGAAUACCUGAAACGGGAAAGCAAAUGAAGCUGAAACAAUAAGGACCUAAUUGAAGAAAAUAUUCCAGAUUCGAAAAACGAACUCAAUCUGCAAAUAGAAAAAGUUCAUAGAGUACCAGUAAAACAACGAAAAGAAAGCAACACCUAGACAUAUCCUAGUGACAUCUUUAAACUGGAAGGAUAAAGAAAAAAAUUCUCCCAAGUAUUCAGAGAAAGCAGGUUACCUGUAAAGGGGUAAAAGUCAGACUGACGCCAUUUUUCUCUUGCAACUGUAAAUGCCGAAAGGCAAGGGGGCAGUAUCUACAGUUUUAAGGGAAAAUGAUUUUGAACUAAGAGUUACAUAUCCUGCCAAGUUAUCGUUUCUAAAUGAAGGCAACUGGCAGACAUUCGUAGAUAUGCAGCGGUUAAGAAAGUAUAUCAGCCAAAUACCAUUCUUGAAAAAUUUGCUAAAUGCUGUUACUGCAGCGCACAAAAACAAGAGUAGUGAGGCAAUUGUAUUAAAAAAAAAAUGGCGGGUAAGCAUUAAAGCUAGUUAGGUAUCAUUAAAGAUUAAAUUGUUAUAUGUAGGGUUAUAAAACUAAAUGCAAAGAUAAAUUCUUCAGUUGGGUCUAAAAUUUCAGUUUGUCUUGUUUUAAACCGAAAAGGUGUGCUAAAUGUUCAAUGUAGACAAUAAGUACUGUUUUUAGUAUGUAAUGUGGAUAAAGAUAUGCAUGCUCUUCAGCUAAACAAAUAAAAGGGCUUUGUUACUGUGGUGGACAGGACACCUAGAGUAAAGGCAUUCCAAGUGUUAAUCUCAUAAAAUGGGAAAUUGGUACAGUAUUGUGCCCUUUAUUUUUAAUUGUAGAGGGUGGGGAAAGUAAUUUCCAAAUCCCUGACUGGGGAGGUGGUAGAUGAAAACCUUGUUUUAUGUACAUCUUGCCUAGGGAAAAUCAGUAGUAACCACUUCAUGUAGUAGUUCAUUCUAAGUAAAUUUGACAUUGAGAUAAGUGUUACAGAUAAAAUUGGAGAGGAAAUGGUGAAAAAACAAAAACAGCAAGGAAACAUUAAAAUUAGCAUAAAAUAGAUUAACAGAUCACACUCAUAAACAGGCUAAAUAUCCCUGUUAAAAAGAUUCAAAUUGGGUCAAAAAUCAGUCUCUGAAUCUGGAGUUCACAUUUGUAUAAAACAAAGGAUAAAGGAAUUUAAAGAUAAUGAAAACUAUUAAGGCAUAGAAAUUGAGAUAGGGAGCAACAUUUCUAUGAGAAUUCUUUUUUUCCCCCAUGGUACCUCCACACCCAUUUUUUUUUUAUCAGAAUUUAAGCUAUAACAAAGUAUAAAACUGUAGGAUGUAGCAUUUAAGAAGCUUCAUGUGGUAAAUAACAUGGCAUUCAUCUGUAAAAUGUUCAAUAUCUUGAUGUGAGUGGUAGUUUUACUGCUGUAUAUAUAGUUUUUAAGUGCAUUCUAAAAUAAAGUAAUUCUUAAUUCAAA
Molecule: long non-coding RNA, 1939 nt
Organism: Mirounga angustirostris (Northern elephant seal)
Lineage: Eukaryota; Metazoa; Chordata; Mammalia; Carnivora; Phocidae
Exons: 2
Source: RefSeq, a predicted model, not a curated record